Molecule: ribosomal RNA, 898 nt
Filed under: Helvella elastica
Lineage: Eukaryota; Fungi; Ascomycota; Pezizomycetes; Pezizales; Helvellaceae
Description: partial large subunit ribosomal RNA
Rfam family: Eukaryotic large subunit ribosomal RNA
Source: RNAcentral
AACGGGGCAGACAACAGGGAUGCCCCAGUAACGGCGAGUGAAGCGGCAGGAGCUCAAAUUUGAAAUCUGGGGUCCCCGACCUCCGAGUUGUAAUUUGGAGAGGCAUCUUCGGGGGGGAGCGCCGGCCCAUGUUCCUUGGAACAGGACGUCACAGAGGGUGAGAAUCCCGUGCCAGGCCGGCUCCCUCCUCCCGGGUGAAGCGCCUUCGACGAGUCGAGUUGUUUGGGAAUGCAGCUCCAAGUGGGUGGUAAGUUUCAUCUAAAGCUAAAUACCGGCGGGAGACCGAUAGCGCACAAGUAGAGUGAUCGAAAGAUGAAAAGCACUUUGAAAAUAGAGUCAAAAAGUACGUGAAAUUGUUGAAAGGGAAGCGCUUGAGACCAGACUCAGGCCCGGGCAAACACCGCGCCCCCAGGGGCCGUGCAAUUGCCUGGGGCUGGGCCAGCAUCAGUCGGCGUGGCGGGACAAAGGCGCGGGGAAUGUGGCUCCCCUCGGGGAGUGUUACCAGCCCCGCGCUCAAUGCCGCCGACGCCGACUGAGGACCGCGCCUCGGCUAGGAUGCUGGCUUAAUGGCCUUCAGCGACCCGUCUUGAAACACGGACCAAGGAGUCUAACAUCUAUGCGAGUGUUUGGGUGCCAAACCCUUGCGCGGAAUGAAAGUGAGCGGAGGUGGGAACCCCCCAGCGGGGCGCACCAUCGACCGAUCCUGAUGUCUUCGGAUGGAUUUGAGUAGGAGCAUAGCUGUUGGGACCCGAAAGAUGGUGAACUAUGCCUGAAUAGGGUGAAGCCAGAGGAAACUCUGGUGGAGGCUCGCAGCGGUUCUGACGUGCAAAUCGAUCGUCAAAUUUGGGUAUAGGGGGCGAAAGACUAAUCGAACCAUCUAGUAGCUGGUUCCUGCCGA